RNAcentral lists this ribosomal RNA (368 nucleotides) under uncultured bacterium. RNAcentral's name for it is "bacterial SSU rRNA". It matches the Rfam family "Bacterial small subunit ribosomal RNA", at positions 28 to 396 of the family's 1533-position model. The record is from RNAcentral.
GACGAACGCUGGCGGCGUGCUUAACACAUGCAAGUCGAGCGGUAAGGCCCUUUCGGGGGUACACGAGCGGCGAACGGGUGAGUAACACGUGGGUGACCUGCCCUUAGCUCUGGGAUAAGCCUGGGAAACUGGGUCUAAUACCGGAUAUGACUCCAUGACGCAUGUUGUGGGGUGGAAAGCCUUGUGCGGCUAGGGAUGGGCCCGCGGCCUAUCAGCUUGUUGGUGGGGUGAUGGCCUACCAAGGCGACGACGGGUAGCCGGCCUGAGAGGGCGACCGGCCACACUGGGACUGAGACACGGCCCAGACUCCUACGGGAGGCAGGCAGUGGGGAAUCUUGCGCAAUGGGCGAAAGCCUGACGCAGCGACG